UACCCAGACUCCUACGGGAGGCAGCAGUGGGGAAUAUUGGGCAAUGGGCGCAAGCCUGACCCAGCGACGCCGCGUGAGGGAAGACGGUCUUCGGAUUGUAAACCUCUUUCAGCAGGGAAGACAAAAGGACGGUACCUGCAGAAGAAGCCACGGCUAACUACGUGCCAGCAGCCGCGGUAAUACGUAGGUGGCAAGCGUUAUCCGGAUUUACUGGGUGUAAAGGGAGCGUAGACGGCGAUGCAAGCCAGAUGUGAAAGCCCGGGGCUCAACCCCGGGACUGCAUUUGGAACUGUGUGGCUGGAGUGUCGGAGAGGCAGGCGGAAUUCCUAGUGUAGCGGUGAAAUGCGUAGAUAUUAGGAGGAACACCAGUGGCGAAGGCGGCCUGCUGGACGAUGACUGACGUUGAGGCUCGAAAGCGUGGGGAGCAAACAGGAUUAGAUACCCCCGUAA
Molecule: ribosomal RNA, 450 nt
Filed under: uncultured bacterium
Lineage: Bacteria
Description: bacterial SSU rRNA
Rfam family: Bacterial small subunit ribosomal RNA
Source: RNAcentral